UAGAGUUUGAUCCUGGCUCAGGACGAACGCUGGCGGCGUGCUUAACACAUGCAAGUCGAACGGUAAGGCCCUUUCGGGGGUACACGAGUGGCGAACGGGUGAGUAACACGUGGGUGAUCUGCCCUGCACUUUGGGAUAAGCCUGGGAAACUGGGUCUAAUACCGAAUACACCUUGCUGGUCGCAUGGCCUGGUGGGGGAAAGCUUUUGCGGUGUGGGAUGGGCCCGCGGCCUAUCAGCUUGUUGGUGGGGUGAUGGCCUACCAAGGCGACGACGGGUAGCCGGCCUGAGAGGGUGACCGGCCACACUGGGACUGAGAUACGGCCCAGACUCCUACGGGAGGCAGCAGUGGGGAAUAUUGCACAAUGGGCGCAAGCCUGAUGCAGCGACGCCGCGUGAGGGAUGACGGCCUUCGGGUUGUAAACCUCUUUCAGCACAGACGAAGCGCAAGUGACGGUAUGUGCAGAAGAAGGACCGGCCAACUACGUGCCAGCAGCCGCG
RNAcentral lists this ribosomal RNA (499 nucleotides) under uncultured Mycobacterium sp. RNAcentral's name for it is "bacterial SSU rRNA". It matches the Rfam family "Bacterial small subunit ribosomal RNA", at positions 1 to 519 of the family's 1533-position model. Lineage: Bacteria; Bacillati; Actinomycetota; Actinomycetes; Mycobacteriales; Mycobacteriaceae. The record is from RNAcentral.